GACAAUUUGAUAGUUUUUUAAAGAUUGUUUCCUAUUCCGUUAAUGUGAUUUUUUUUUGUGCAAAUGCUCAUAAUUAGACCUUCAAAAAAAAUAGAAUUCUUAUAUAUUUAUUUUUGAUUAAGAAAACAAUCAUAUUCUCUUAUAAUCUAAACAAUAUAAUUUUGUACAUGUACCCAAUAAUGAAAGAAAGACAGAAACGGAAAAAUAUAUAAAAAAAGAUGGGGAAACAUUAAAUAUGAAAUCACGGAUGGCUACCCCCCACCACCAUUCCUCACAAGAGAUUCCUCAUUUGGAGCGUCUUAUUCUUGCACAUAUCUCUACUAAUAAAGAUAUAUAUGUUGAAAAUAUUUAUAUUUCUUCACUCUCUUCAAAACUAAAAGCAAAGAGAAAACUAGAGAGACCAAAAUGGCGGAGGAAUCUCCACAGUCUAUCUACGACUUCACCGUUAAGGAUAUUGAAGGUAAAGAUGUGAGUUUGAGCCAAUUCAAAGGCAAAACUCUUUUGAUUGUAAACGUUGCCUCCAAAUGUGGUCUGACGGAUGCAAACUACAAGGAACUGAAUGUUCUGUACGAUAAAUACAAGGACCAAGGGUUGGAGAUUUUAGCGUUUCCGUGCAAUCAGUUCUUGGGACAAGAACCAGGAAACAAUGAAGAGAUCCAACAAACUGUCUGCACAAAGUUCAAAGCUGAGUUCCCCAUCUUUGACAAGGUGGAUGUGAACGGGAAGAACACGGCGCCAUUAUACAAAUACUUGAAAGCAGAGAAAGGAGGUUUGCUUAUUGACGCAAUCAAAUGGAACUUCACAAAGUUCUUGGUUUCUCCUGACGGAAAAGUCUCCCAGAGAUAUUCUCCUAGAACCUCUCCUCUUCAAUUCGAGAAAGACAUUCAAACUCUGUUGGGACAGGCUUCAUCUUGAUCAUCAUCACAAGUUUAAAGAACCGUUUUAUCUAAAUCUUUGUUUUCUUCUUAAGAAUCCCACAAUGUUGCAAACUCUUAUUCUCUGAAUCUGCUUUUUUAAUAAACAUGGUGUCUUCUCGUUGGUGACACGUAGUAUCAUUGAUGAAUAAAUCAUAUUUAUCAUGUGACUCGUUUUAACGCUCAAACUUUAUAAAAGACAUGAUGUCGAGUCAUAAAUUCGAUUGGCUUAAUAGUACAGUUGGAUACGUAACAGAACACGUGAAAGGAUCUUGUCCUCAUGUUGCCCUAUCGUACACGACACGUUAAAGCGUGUUCACAACUUAUGACCACUUACAUAGUUUCUGAUUCUUUCCUACAAACCCGAAAGAAAAAAGAUAAAAGAAUCACAAGUAAAGACACGUUCUUUCUUUCUUCCUUUCUUUCACAUCUUGUAAUACUGACGCAAAGUCAUGAGCUUUACCGUCAUCUAAGCGUAAUUAUCAAUGAUAUAAAAGCAAGACAGGUCAAGAUCAUGAAAGCAAACAGAAGAUUACUGUCAUUAGAUUAG
Brassica rapa (field mustard) is the source of this 1464-nucleotide RNA transcript. It is a transcript of the gene named probable glutathione peroxidase 2, with no coding region annotated. NCBI's taxonomy places the organism in Eukaryota, Viridiplantae, Streptophyta, Magnoliopsida, Brassicales, Brassicaceae. The record is from RefSeq and is a predicted model, not a curated record.